This 214-nucleotide unclassified non-coding RNA is filed under the name Hevea brasiliensis (rubber tree). Lineage: Eukaryota; Viridiplantae; Streptophyta; Magnoliopsida; Malpighiales; Euphorbiaceae. The record is from RNAcentral.
AUAAAAUAAAAUAAAAUAAGAAAUAAGUGUGACUAGUUCUUCUGGACGAUAUACUCUCACUCCUAAUUUUACUUUGUAAUCCUGUGCUAUUUUGCCUUUAUGUUGUUCCAAUAUAAAUAUUGAUUUUUGUGAUGUUAGGUUUAACAUGAUGUUGGAGUAAAUUUUGAUUCAUUUAUAGUCUCGAAGAAUAUUAGGAAUAUCUCUUAUGUACUCG